RNAcentral lists this unclassified non-coding RNA (376 nucleotides) under soil metagenome. RNAcentral describes it as "partial contains 5.8S ribosomal RNA, internal transcribed spacer 2, and large subunit ribosomal RNA". The stretch from base 1 to 120 matches the Rfam family "5.8S ribosomal RNA", at positions 35 to 154 of the family's 154-position model. The record is from RNAcentral.
GAUGAAGAACGUAGUGAAAUGCGAUAAGUAAUGUGAAUUGCAGAAUUCAGUGAAUCAUCGAAUCUUUGAACGCAUCUUGCGCUCCUUGGUAUUCUGAGGAGCAUGCCUGUUUGAGUGUCAUUAAAUUCUCAACUACACUGACUUUGAAUUGGUGUGGCUUGGAUUUGGGGGGAAAAUUGUUGUGGGCUUUUUGUAUAGUCUGCUCCCCUGAAAUUGAUUAGCGGUACCUUUGUGGAACUGUCUACAGGUGUGAUAAUUAUCUACAUCUUAGACAUCUGCUGGAAUGCUGCUUUCUAAACCUUACUUGUAUUGACAAUCUUGACCUCAAAUCAGGUAGGACUACCCGCUGAACUUAAGCAUAUCAAUAAGCGGAGGA